Penaeus monodon (black tiger shrimp) is the source of this 599-nucleotide long non-coding RNA. RefSeq lists it as uncharacterized. The transcript is spliced from 3 exons. NCBI's taxonomy places the organism in Eukaryota, Metazoa, Arthropoda, Malacostraca, Decapoda, Penaeidae. The record is from RefSeq and is a predicted model, not a curated record.
UAUUAUUGAGAUGAUUUCAGUUGUAUAGAUAUGAUAACGAUAUAUAAGUGUAAAUAAAUGCACAUAUAUACAAACAUACACAAAAUAUAUAUAAAUAGAUAGAUAUCGAUAGAUAGAUAAAUAGAUGAAUAUGAAUAGAUACACAUAUUUUUUUCUUUUCUUUUUUUUUUUCCUGUAGAAAAUCGGCCUGUGCAAAUAAGGGGUUCCGUCCAAGGUGUCGGAUCGGUUCGGAUUCGGUUUCGCUCACCCGCCAGGAGUCGACCCGUGCACCACGAUCUCUUGGUUAGAUACGAUCAUGGAAGCAAGGAAAACGAGGAGAGACGACGGAGCAGAUUGACAUCAGCUCCCGACACGUCGAGGAGGCCCUGGCAGCGAAUGACGUCGAGGGAGCCAGAACGGAGAAUGAUCUUUCGCAUCUAACAGUGACGUUGUUGGAUUGUCUGGACGACUGGUCUGACGUCACAGCCCGGGCGCCGACGGGGACCUCCUCCCUCGCCCUCGUUAACAGAUCUCGAGAAUAAAGGCGAUCUAACUCUUACGUUUCAUAUCGGACAUCUUGCAUUUGUCGGUUAAUCUUAACAAUUAAAGAUUUAAAAAGA